ACUUAACAGCGACGAGCAGAGCAGAGCAGAGCUAACCCGCCGCGCUCGCCCAGGGCCCCGCAGGCAGCAGGGACGCAGGCAAGCCCCGGCCAGGCCGGCCCCGCUCCUCCCUGCGCGCCCCGCCAUGCGGAGCCCCUCGGGCCUUCCGCCGGGUGCUGGUGUCGGGGCUACCGCAGGGACACGCAGCCGGCGGACCGCGGGGGGCAGGCGCGGGCGGCCCGUCCCGCCUGAGGCGCGUUGAAGCGAGGCGCGGAAACGGGGACGAGGGAGGCAGCAAACCCUCCGCGCCGCCCUCCACAUACCAUGCCUCCUCCUCCCGCCGCCGCCGCGCUCCCGGCCCGCCCACCGCGCAGGCGCGCCCUGCGGCGGACCGCGGCGGGCGGGACGGAGGUGACGGCUGCGCUUGCGCGGCGGGAGGCGCUCCCCGCAGCCGCGGGGCAGGGGUCCGAGGUUCGGUGGUCGCUGCUGUUGCUCGGCGAUCUCCGUGUGAGGCGGUGGGAGGGGAGCGCUCCCGGCCAGCCACCGGGACACCGUCUUCUCGCCCAGUUCCGCUGUCAGCCCCUUCCGCCACCCCCAGCCGUGCUAGCCCCGGAUUAAUUCAGACCCGCUGGCCUCCCUCCAGGAGCUCAGCAAUGACAGUUACAUCUGCAUGUUUCUAAUCGGUUUCGCAGGCUUCACCGCCCUUCUCUCCCUACAGGUUUGGUCCCAAGAAACACAGCUUCAUCCAAAACCCAUUGAUCAGUCAAGCAGUUCGGGCAACACUCUACUCUCCAAAGAAAACAGGUCCAUAUCUUUCCUGUAUUGAGGACUCCAGAGCUGGACGCAGAACUGCAGGGGUGGUCGUCCCAAAGCAGAGUAGAGGUCACAGGAGAAAAAUGUUCCCCACGUAGCAGUGGAUUAUUGGAACUGGAGUGUGCAUUUGACCGACUGGUGCUGUGAAAAUGGCUUCCGAUGCCAGCUAGGGGUUCAAGCAGAGGUUCAAGUGUGUUGGCCUCUUCCCAAGCCAAGGCUGAAGUGUCCAGUUCACAGGAUUCCCAAACCCUGUGCAGCUGUGCAUAGCAAGGAGCGGGAGCAGGAGGCAUUUGCACUUACACAGCCCUUGCACGAACAACCAUAUAUCUGGCACUUGGUGAGAUACGCUGCUGAUAUACUCGGUUACUGCGCAGUUCUUCUUCAGGUCUCUCCUCCCAAACGAAAGGCUUUUUAACAUUUUAUUGCUCUCUAGUGUUCCUAAUACAAUUGUGUCUGCUAAGGAGUGGGCCAAAGAAAAGGCAGGGCUAACUUCUUGUCCUGAAAUGGCCUCUCCUGCUGCUGUUACCAGAGGUGGGCUAGUCAGCUUUGUGGGCCCUGGGUCUCGCCAACCAGGCUGUCACUUCAGUUUUCACUUUCUGUUGCCAGUUCUCUUUCAUAGCUGCCAAAUCCACCUCCUCUGUUCCUCACUCAGUAUUGUUUCUCAAACACAGCAUCUAUCAUUUGUUCUCAUUUUCUGAAUGCUGGACUGUUCACUUGUUCAUCCUUCCUAAUAGCAUAGCUACCUAUUUAUAUUCAGAAGUGCCUGCCACAGAAAUGGAAAAAAGAGUAUUUAUCCAGCUUGAUGUCAAGCACUGGAGAAAAGCCCCCUACUUUAUUGUCUUCAUCAACAUAAGAUCACGUCCUCUAACUUAACAUUUUUUAGUAUACCUCUUUCUCGCAUUUGUGAGAAAUCUAGCAAGUGAAGACCCUCAGCAUGGUAAGACCAGCACAAUCCUUCCUAAAAUGCAUUUCUUAUACAGCUUGUACUGCAAAUUGAGAAUAAGGUUGAUUCCUAACACUUCAUCUUCUGUUGUCAUGAGUCCUGUUUUCCAGACUUACUACCAACAUUAUAAAUGUACUGAGUGCUUCAGAAUGCAAGACAAGAACAGCAUGUCAGCUGUUUUCAUCAGGGUACGCAAAUGAGAUUUGUAGAAGCCCAGUGGAAGAACAUCGCAUCAACUAAUGGAGACUUCAGGAGUCAGUCUGCUGAGUUUGUUUCUUUAUCAGUUUGGACUGACAAAGAACAUUCUUGUUGUCUGAAAAUUAUACAUGUCACCUGCCAGAUUGGAAGAAAAUCAGAAGCUGUUCUGGUAGAAUGAUGAAGUGAGCAGCGAGGAACUGACCAUUCAAUUGACAGUGGACUAUUAAUGUAAAUAUUUUUCUUUGCACUGCAGAAAGGACCUGCCAUUUAAAAUGGACAGGUUACCACAUGCUAAAAUAUUUUCCCUAUACUAGACUGCACAAAAUUCUGUUAACUAGCAUAAGUUAAUAUAUGACACUCUUGGUUUUAUUCAUCCUUAUUUGGGCAAGGCCACAGGCUUUUUUUCAUUCCCUUGAAUGAUAUAGUCCAGAAAUUUACCAGAUCUUCAAAAUUAAAAUCAGCUGUUAAAUUA
Molecule: long non-coding RNA, 2405 nt
Organism: Strigops habroptila (Kakapo)
Lineage: Eukaryota; Metazoa; Chordata; Aves; Psittaciformes; Psittacidae
Source: Ensembl